RNAcentral lists this unclassified non-coding RNA (346 nucleotides) under soil metagenome. RNAcentral's name for it is "partial contains 5.8S ribosomal RNA, internal transcribed spacer 2, and large subunit ribosomal RNA". The stretch from base 1 to 119 matches the Rfam family "5.8S ribosomal RNA", at positions 35 to 154 of the family's 154-position model. The record is from RNAcentral.
GAUGAAGAACGCAGUGAAAUGCGAUACGUAAUGUGAAUUGCAAAUUCAGUGAAUCAUCGAGUCUUUGAACGCACAUUGCGCCCCCUGGUAUUCCGGGGGGCAUGCCUGUCCGAGCGUCAUUGCUGCCCUCAAGCACGGCUUGUGUGUUGGGCCCCGUCCUCCGAUCCCGGGGGACGGGCCCGAAAGGCAGCGGCGGCACCGCGUCCGGUCCUCGAGCAUAUGGGGCUUUGUCACCCGCUCUGUAGGCCCGGCCGGCGCUUGCCGAUCAACCCAAAUUUUUUAUCCAGGUUGACCUCGGAUCAGGUAGGGAUACCCGCUGAACUUAAGCAUAUCAAUAAGCGGAGGA